CGCGUAGGCGGUCUCUUAAGUCAGAUGUGAAAGCCCGGGGCUUAACCUCGGAAGUGCAUUUGAAACUAAGGGACUUGAGUAUGGGAGAGGGAAGUGGAAUUCCUGGUGUAGAGGUGAAAUUCGUAGAUACCAGGAGGAACACCGGUGGCGAAGGCGACUUCCUGGACCAAUACUGACGCUGAGGUGCGAAGGCGUGGGUAGCAAACAGGAUUAGAUACCCUGGUAGUCC
Molecule: ribosomal RNA, 229 nt
Filed under: uncultured bacterium
Lineage: Bacteria
Description: partial 16S ribosomal RNA
Rfam family: Bacterial small subunit ribosomal RNA
Source: RNAcentral